RNAcentral lists this ribosomal RNA (500 nucleotides) under uncultured bacterium. Its description in RNAcentral is "bacterial SSU rRNA". It matches the Rfam family "Bacterial small subunit ribosomal RNA", at positions 29 to 500 of the family's 1533-position model. The record is from RNAcentral.
AACGAACGCUGGCGGCGUGCCUAACACAUGCAAGUCGAACGGAGUUGUCACCAUGAAGUUUUCGGAUGGAUUGGUAACAACUUAGUGGCGGACGGGUGAGUAACGCGUGGGUAACCUGCCUCAUACUGGGGGAUAACAGCUGGAAACGGCUGCUAAAACCGCAUAAGAUCGCAUCACCGCAUGGUGAAGCGGUUAAAUAUCGAAAGAUAGGUAUGAGAUGGGCCCGCGUCUGAUUAGCUAGUUGGUGAGAUAAGAGCCCACCAAGGCGACGAUCCGUAGCUGGUCUGAGAGGAUGAUCAGCCACACUGGAACUGAGACACGGUCCAGACUCCUACGGGAGGCAGCAGUAGGGAAUAUUGGACAAUGGGCGCAAGCCUGAUCCAGCCAUGCCGCGUGAGUGAAGAAGGCCCUCGGGUUGUAAAGCUCUUUUGUCCGGAAAGAAAAGCGCCGGGUUAAUACCCUGGUGUCCUGACGGUACCGGAAGAAUAAGCACCGGCUAA